GAAAUGCGAUAAGUAAUGUGAAUUGCAGAAUUCAGUGAAUCAUCGAAUCUUUGAACGCACCUUGCGCUCCUUGGUAUUCCUCGGAGCAUGCCUGUUUGAGUAUCAUGAAACUCUCAAAGAAAAUCUUUUGUUAAUUCAAUUGGUUUGCUUUGGACUUGGAGGUUCUUGCAGAUUCACUUCUGCUCCUCUUAAAUAUAUUAGCUGGAUCUCAGUAUAUGCUCGGUUCCACUCGGCGUGAUAAGUAUCACUCGCUGAGGACACUGUAAAAAGGUGGCCGGGAAAUACAGAUGAACUGCUUCAAACAGUCCAUUCACUUGGACAAAAUAAGUUUUAAGAUCUGAUCUCAAAUCAGGUAGGACUACCCGCUGAACUUAA
This 375-nucleotide unclassified non-coding RNA is filed under the name uncultured Ceratobasidiaceae. Its description in RNAcentral is "sequence contains ITS1". The stretch from base 1 to 105 matches the Rfam family "5.8S ribosomal RNA", at positions 50 to 154 of the family's 154-position model. The record is from RNAcentral. Lineage: Eukaryota; Fungi; Basidiomycota; Agaricomycetes; Cantharellales; Ceratobasidiaceae.